ACAGAAGCUUAAUGGAUUGCCU
This 22-nucleotide non-coding RNA is filed under the name Arabidopsis thaliana (thale cress). Lineage: Eukaryota; Viridiplantae; Streptophyta; Magnoliopsida; Brassicales; Brassicaceae. The record is from RNAcentral.